CACCCUGAGGCCGGGCAGGUACACCAUAUUACGUAACGCACACGGGUGCCUUCCUUGGAGAGGACGUCGCAAAGUCUCUUCGACUUCCAGCACUAACAGCAGAGUCAAAUAAAUGCAAACACUUCAGGUUGGAUGGAGCUGUCACCCCCGGAUCACCCUGGCAACCAGGAAAGGGCAGAGAGGAAAACGUUUUUUUCCUCCUGUUUAUUCUUGAACCCCUUUUGUUAUGACUGGGACUGUUCUGGAGUUCAAUGUAGGUGGUUAGCAGGAUUUAGGAGGAGAGCGACUGGUCGAGUAACUGCAAAAUUAAAAUGACGUGAACUUAAUGGCA
Molecule: long non-coding RNA, 331 nt
Organism: Ornithorhynchus anatinus (platypus)
Lineage: Eukaryota; Metazoa; Chordata; Mammalia; Monotremata; Ornithorhynchidae
Exons: 2
Source: RefSeq, a predicted model, not a curated record